GGUUCAUGAGAGAGGGGUAAAAACAAGUCUCAACUUCCAUUAGGCACAGUACUGCAUCUUUAUAUGAAGAGGAGCAGAAUAGUGUUGAGCUGAUUAGAAAAAAGUAACUGAAAGUGUAUUCAUGAGCACAGUAUUAAUGGAUCACUUACUCAAAAAAUAGCAAAGAUGAGUGCAUUGUACAAAAGGAUGCAGAACUGGCUUCUUCCUGAGAUAUCUUGUUGCCUGAUCCUGGUUUCUGUUAGCCGAGAUUGUGCUGCCCUGCAGUCCCUUUACAGAGAGCUGGCUAAUGCUGUGACACCCAAGGAAGGCUGCGAGCUCAGUGCCUUCCUUCCCCGGCCUCCUCACUGCAGGGAGAGGAGGAGAGAUGCACUAUCAGCACCCCUGAGGGGCUUCCCCUUGUGCAACAACCACUGGCCAGCAAGGCGUGAGCAGUAUGCUCUGAUCAACAGCAUGAACCACAACUAGUGCCCAGCAAUUGGCGAGUGGCAGAUGCCUGAAUACCAUGUUUUUCAUCUCACUUCAAUAUCCUUGACUCAUGCAUCCUGUCUGCGCUAAUGUUAGUUUUCUGAUUGCAGUGUGUCUGCAGCUUCGGAGCCUCAGCAAGUGCCUGAGCCAUCCCGGAAAGAUCACUUUUCAUCUCUAGUAGAUCUAGUUCUGUCUUGCAGCUUCACUGUGCUUUUAGUGACUCUGAGAGUUAGCUUGUUAUGCUCAUUUACAUGUGGACUUUCCCUGGAUUUACACUGAUAUAGCAGUGCACUGUUUUUCCUGUAAUUUUAAAAUAAUUCCAAACCAUCCCAUCAAUACGAUAUUCAAUUUUGACUUUAUUUGACAUCUAAGAAGAAAACGAGCUACUCCCACCAACAGUUACGCCCACCAUACUAUCCUUGUUCCACUAUCAUGUUCUCUCUGUUGUAUGAAUGCCUCAAAACAGGAAGACCUGAACUGGAAGGGACCUGUUGCUUCUUUGGGAGAUGCUUGUGUGUAUGUUUCCCCAAUACUCUGUAAUUCUCCUCCCCAAACUGCUGUCACGUUGUACAGAUUAUAACAGUGAUUUCAGAGUGCUUAAAACCAUUUAUAUUUCUACCAGUAUGAAGAGGAGGAAUGAAGCGUGAUGAGAGUUACUCAGGGAUGCUGAGCUUUGAAUGUCAGUUAUAAAAGGAUGCCUGUUAGAACAGAAGGAAGAAAGAAAAAAUUAGAUUUAUUUUUAGCUCUCAUUCAGGCCUACCAGUCAGAAGCACAAAGAAAAGAGCAGAGUUGCCAGGUAGCAAGUUUUCAUGAGUAAGUACCCUACCUGAGAUUAAAGUACAAAGAGAAUUCCAUUUUUUGUUGCAUGCUCAUUAAUAGCAUUAACUAGACAUGCAGAAUAGUCUUUUUUUCUCCUUUUAAGCCAUACAGUUAAUACAAAACUCAAAUUAGGAUCACUAAUUUGUGAUCAAUAACUAAAAAUAAAGAAUUGGACAAAUGCUUAUUAAACUUCA
Molecule: long non-coding RNA, 1478 nt
Filed under: Apteryx owenii (little spotted kiwi)
Lineage: Eukaryota; Metazoa; Chordata; Aves; Apterygiformes; Apterygidae
Description: lncRNA (ENSAOWG00000005391.1)
Source: RNAcentral